UGCAAGUCGAGCGGACAGAUGGGAGCUUGCUCCCUGAUGUUAGCGGCGGACGGGUGAGUAACACGUGGGUAACCUGCCUGUAAGACUGGGAUAACUCCGGGAAACCGGGGCUAAUACCGGAUGCUUGUUUGAACCGCAUGGUUCAAACAUAAAAGGUGGCUUCGGCUACCACUUACAGAUGGACCCGCGGCGCAUUAGCUAGUUGGUGAGGUAACGGCUCACCAAGGCAACGAUGCGUAGCCGACCUGAGAGGGUGAUCGGCCACACUGGGACUGAGACACGGCCCAGACUCCUACGGGAGGCAGCAGUAGGGAAUCUUCCGCAAUGGACGAAAGUCUGACGGAGCAACGCCGCGUGAGUGAUGAAGGUUUUCGGAUCGUAAAGCUCUGUUGUUAGGGAAGAACAAGUACCGUUCGAAUAGGGCGGUACCUUGACGGUACCUAACCAGAAAGCCACGGCUAACUACGUGCCAGCAGCCGCGGUAAUACGUAGGUGGCAAGCGUUGUCCGGAAUUAUUGGGCGUAAAGGGCUCGCAGGCGGUUCCUUAAGUCUGAUGUGAAAGCCCCCGGCUCAACCGGGGAGGGUCAUUGGAAACUGGGGAACUUGAGUGCAGAAGAGGAGAGUGGAAUUCCACGUGUAGCGGUGAAAUGCGUAGAGAUGUGGAGGAACACCAGUGGCGAAGGCGACUCUCUGGUCUGUAACUGACGCUGAGGAGCGAAAGCGUGGGGAGCGAACAGGAUUAGAUACCCUGGUAGUCCACGCCGUAAACGAUGAGUGCUAAGUGUUAGGGGGUUUCCGCCCCUUAGUGCUGCAGCUAACGCAUUAAGCACUCCGCCUGGGGAGUACGGUCGCAAGACUGAAACUCAAAGGAAUUGACGGGGGCCCGCACAAGCGGUGGAGCAUGUGGUUUAAUUCGAAGCAACGCGAAGAACCUUACCAGGUCUUGACAUCCUCUGACAAUCCUAGAGAUAGGACGUCCCCUUCGGGGGCAGAGUGACAGGUGGUGCAUGGUUGUCGUCAGCUCGUGUCCAGAGAUGUUGGGUUAAGUCCCGCAACGAGCGCAACCCUUGAUCUUAGUUGCCAGCAUUCAGUUGGGCACUCUAAGGUGACUGCCGGUGACAAACCGGAGGAAGGGGGGGGAUGAAGUCCAAUCUUCUUGCCCCCUAUGACCUGGGCUACAAACGUGCUACAAUGGACAGAAAAAAGGGCGGCGAAACCGCGAGGUUAAGCCAAUCCCACAAAUCUGUUCUCAGUUC
RNAcentral lists this ribosomal RNA (1256 nucleotides) under Bacillus subtilis. RNAcentral's name for it is "bacterial SSU rRNA". It matches the Rfam family "Bacterial small subunit ribosomal RNA", at positions 56 to 1294 of the family's 1533-position model. Lineage: Bacteria; Bacillati; Bacillota; Bacilli; Caryophanales; Bacillaceae. The record is from RNAcentral.